AAGUACCCUCUACAGACUACAAUAGUACAAACAUAAAAGUUAAAAGUACAAUUGAAUUACAAACAUCUCGUGUCUGUUCACGAAGUUUAAAGGUUGAAGUGUCGCGGCUUAUGGUUUUGGAAAUGUGGUCAACCUAUCUUUGUGAAAAAAACAUACUGUAUAUGCCAGUUAAGAAAUUUGCAGUAUGCUUUGGCUAUUACAUAUCCAUUUGUAGGAGCUGGGCUUACCAGGACUGCGAGUCCAGCGGCUCAUUGUUCUCAUCUUUUCACCUCAAAAAUCCAUGCUACACUUUGGGGCCAUGGAUGCAGUGUUAGAGUGAUGGUGAAAUCCCACUGUUUGGUCAGAUAAGAGAAGCCUGAGGCUGUGGGCUUUACUGCUACUGGACUAAAUACAUAUCAUACAGAACCAGGAAAAGUAGGCAAAAUUUUCUGUGAUACCUGUGGAAAACAGUAUUCAUCAAAAAAGUCUUUGUCGGCACACCGACACCAUCAGCACAGGA
This is a long non-coding RNA of Limulus polyphemus (Atlantic horseshoe crab), 499 nucleotides long. RefSeq lists it as uncharacterized. The transcript has 3 exons. NCBI's taxonomy places the organism in Eukaryota, Metazoa, Arthropoda, Merostomata, Xiphosura, Limulidae. The record is from RefSeq and is a predicted model, not a curated record.